UACGGAGGAUGCAAGCGUUAUCCGGAUUUAUUGGGUUUAAAGGGUGCGUAGGUGGUUUUAUAAGUCAGUGGUGAAAGUCUGCAGCUUAACUGUAGGAUUGCCAUUGAUACUGUAAGACUUGAGUGUGGUUGAGGUAGGCGGAAUGUGUAGUGUAGCGGUGAAAUGCUUAGAGAUUACACAGAACUCCAAUUGCGAAGGCAGCUUACUAAGCCAUUACUGACACUGAUGCACGAAAGCGUGGGGAUCAAACAGG
RNAcentral lists this ribosomal RNA (253 nucleotides) under uncultured bacterium. Its description in RNAcentral is "partial 16S ribosomal RNA". It matches the Rfam family "Bacterial small subunit ribosomal RNA", at positions 524 to 776 of the family's 1533-position model. The record is from RNAcentral.